RNAcentral lists this ribosomal RNA (253 nucleotides) under uncultured bacterium. RNAcentral describes it as "partial 16S ribosomal RNA". It matches the Rfam family "Bacterial small subunit ribosomal RNA", at positions 524 to 776 of the family's 1533-position model. The record is from RNAcentral.
UACGUAGGGUGCGAGCGUUGUCCGGAAUUAUUGGGCGUAAAGAGCUUGUAGGCGGCUUGUCGCGUCUGCCGUGAAAAUCCGGGGCUCAACCCCGGACUUGCGGUGGGUACGGGCAGACUAGAGUGUGGUAGGGGAGACUGGAAUUCCUGGUGUAGCGGUGAAAUGCGCAGAUAUCAGGAGGAACACCGAUGGCGAAGGCAGGUCUCUGGGCCACUACUGACGCUGAGAAGCGAAAGCGUGGGGAGCGAACAGG